UACGGGGGGGGCAAGCGUUGUUCGGAAUUACUGGGCGUAAAGCGUGCGCAGGCGGCUUUGCAAGACAGAUGUGAAAUCCCCGGGCUUAACCUGGGAACUGCAUUUGUGACUGCAUGGCUCGAGUGCGGCAGAGGGGGAUGGAAUUCCGCGUGUAGCAGUGAAAUGCGUAGAUAUGCGGAGGAACACCGAUGGCGAAGGCAAUCCCCUGGGCCUGCACUGACGCUCAUGCACGAAGGCGUGGGGAGCAAACAGG
Molecule: ribosomal RNA, 253 nt
Filed under: uncultured bacterium
Lineage: Bacteria
Description: partial 16S ribosomal RNA
Rfam family: Bacterial small subunit ribosomal RNA
Source: RNAcentral